Molecule: long non-coding RNA, 722 nt
Organism: Hippoglossus stenolepis (Pacific halibut)
Lineage: Eukaryota; Metazoa; Chordata; Actinopteri; Pleuronectiformes; Pleuronectidae
Exons: 3
Source: RefSeq, a predicted model, not a curated record
CGACGGUGGUUUCUACCGGAGGCGUCUUCCAGUAUUCCUCCAGACCCAGAGCCAGACACAGAGCGAUGGCCGCCAUCUGCAGUUCCACAAGAAAGUUCAAAACCUGGAUCAGCUUAUGAAAGAAAUCACGAAGCUGCCACAGGUUCUCCUGCAUGUUGGUAAGUGGAGGAUGAGGUGACAGAAGAUUUGAUUACCUGAGCCUGAACAUGAACCAGCGGAGAGGCGACGACCAUCAGAGCCACGAACUCCACUAAGAUCAGAGCAGAGAACUGUGGGAGGAGAUCACAGGAAUCAGUUACCACAGCAACCGGUAUGUUGCCGUCGAUGGAGGAGAACCCGACGCCAAUCAUCACGACACCAGACGCCUGCAGAGACAAUGGAGGGAAACAAAAGUCAGAAUCAACUCCUGCGUGAAACUGUGACAGUGAAUCAAAGACGUUUCUCCUCCCGACCACGAGGAGGAAGGAGAAGUGAAAGUCUGAGUUAAUCUAAAACAUGCACAGUAAUUAAGUGUAAUCAGCUGAUGUCGUGUAAACAAUAAAAACCCAGCAGCCAAACAGGAAGCAGGGAAACAGGAGCCAGUAAAACACAAAUACACACAAUGGAAAGUUUUCAGUGAGAAACACAAACAUGGUCUCGACACUUUUACUAUGAAACUCGUGAGGAUCAUUUAUCAUCAGGUUGAAUGUUCGAGACGAUGAAAUCAUAUAUUUAACAUUUGA